Molecule: long non-coding RNA, 302 nt
Organism: Sipha flava (yellow sugarcane aphid)
Lineage: Eukaryota; Metazoa; Arthropoda; Insecta; Hemiptera; Aphididae
Exons: 3
Source: RefSeq, a predicted model, not a curated record
GCGAUGUACCACGACUGGAUCAUGCACUGAAAACAGCGGUACAACCCCGACCGGGAAGAAGGGGAAAAAUUCUGCUACUUACGUAUUCAAUAAAGUUGGUGUUCAUCAAAGGUGCUCCUAAAGAAAACAUGAAACGAUGGCCUGUAAUAAUGAAACACAUCGCUAUGAAUUUCAGUCCGUGAAUGCACUCGAGGUUGUCAGAGGUCUUCGGAAAGUUAACAACGUUCAAAGCGUUCUAUGUACUGAAAUCAAAUUUGGAAACUCACCCGAAAACCGAAAAUGUUCAAAGGAAGACAUUGACG